RNAcentral lists this ribosomal RNA (500 nucleotides) under uncultured bacterium. Its description in RNAcentral is "bacterial SSU rRNA". It matches the Rfam family "Bacterial small subunit ribosomal RNA", at positions 370 to 888 of the family's 1533-position model. The record is from RNAcentral.
AAUGGGCGAAAGCCUGAUCCAGCAAUGCCGCGUGAGUGAUGAAGGCCUUAGGGUUGUAAAGCUCUUUUACCAGGGAUGAUAAUGACAGUACCUGGAGAAUAAGCUCCGGCUAACUCCGUGCCAGCAGCCGCGGUAAUACGGAGGGAGCUAGCGUUGUUCGGAAUUACUGGGCGUAAAGCGUACGUAGGCGGUUAUUCAAGUCAGGGGUGAAAGCCUGGAGCUCAACUCCAGAACUGCCCUUGAAACUAGAUAACUAGAAUCUUGGAGAGGUGAGUGGAAUUCCGAGUGUAGAGGUGAAAUUCGUAGAUAUUCGGAAGAACACCAGUGGCGAAGGCGACUCACUGGACAAGUAUUGACGCUGAGGUACGAAAGCGUGGGGAGCAAACAGGAUUAGAUACCCUGGUAGUCCACGCCGUAAACGAUGAUAACUAGCUGUUCGGGCUCUACGAGCUUGAGUGGCGCAGCUAACGCAUUAAGUAUCCGCCUGGGGAGAACCGUCG